Long non-coding RNA from Falco peregrinus (peregrine falcon), 1373 nucleotides. RefSeq lists it as uncharacterized. The transcript is spliced from 4 exons. The record is from RefSeq and is a predicted model, not a curated record. NCBI's taxonomy places the organism in Eukaryota, Metazoa, Chordata, Aves, Falconiformes, Falconidae.
AGUUGUUUAUCCUUCUAUGCCUGCACAGCUAUUUCUGUGCUUCUUUUUUCCUGUUAUAUGUCCUUUUCUUGUUUUCUGAUAGAGUUUCAGGAAGUGUAUGCGUUGCCCAGGCUAAAUCCUUACUGACUCAUGUGAGAAGGUCUCCAAUCCAUUCUCAGGUUACUAGUCAUGACUGAAGACUGUUUGGAUCAUGGACUAGAUUCAAAGUACGCACAUGUCCAUCCUUCUACCAUUUCCACCCAUCAUGACUUGUGUUGAAGCAUCAGCUGAAAAGGGUUCCUCACCAACAUGAGAGCAACCAGGACUGUUUCAAAGGAUGUAGCAACCCCAGCUGGGCGAUCCCCACCUCCACCACUCUCAAAGCAGAACCUGCAGUGCAUAGUUGAGAUGGUACGUGGAGAUCCUAACAUCUCAGUAGGACCAGCAGAAAGCUUCAACUAAUGUUGAUGAGUCUUGCUCUGUCUUCCACGUAGUCAAUGUAUUGCUUAGUAAACAAAAAAGAUUUCUUUUUUACAUACAAAAUCAAAGCCAGGGGGAGAAAAAGCACACAGUAAAAAGUGGUUCUAUUUGGACCCAGUAAUUUUUUUCUUCAACACAAGGGUAAAUUCAACGAUAUGCAGGAUAUUCCUUUCCCAUGGCUGAGCUGGGAUAAAGUGCUUUCAUUCACAGAAACACUAUGAGACCAAAGUCAAUGCUGACAGAGGACCACGAGCAGCAAACAGCAAAUUUCCAGUCCUCCCAUGAUACCCUACAGCUCACGCUGCUGCACAGCUCAAUGAGCUGUAGCAUUAGGGUAGCUUGAUCUUGCUGCCCGGUGAAGCCUAAAAUGAAAGAGUAGGGAGCUUCAUGGUGCCUGCUUUGCUCAGCGCAACAAAGUCCGUAAUAGAAGAAUACACAAGGAAAGGACAAACAUGUACAUAGGAUCAUUUAAGUUGGAAAAGACCUUUAAGAUUAAGUCCAACUGUUAACCUAGCACCGCCAAGUCAAUCAAAUCAUGUCCCUAAGGACCACAUCUGCACGUCUGUUAAAUAACUCCAGGGAUGGUCACUGAACCACUUUCCUGGGCAGCCUGUUCCAAUGACUGAUAACCCUUUCAGUGAAGAAGCUUUCCCCCAUACCCAAUCUAAACCUUGCCUGGUGCAACUUGAGGUCAUUUCCUCUCGUCCUAUUGCUUGUUAUUUGUGGGAAGGACUGACACCUACCUGUGGAGGAAUGAAGCUGGGUUAAUUAUCACUGAUAAUAUACAACUGUGGGCUGGCUUCAGGGGCGGUGGGUUGGCUGAUGGAGAUAAGGUGCAGCUGUGGCUGGUUAAGUGAAGUGGUUGAGAGCCAAUGAAGAGAGAGCAGCCGAGGAAGAGAAGGUAAGAGAGGAAG